GGGCAUGUGGUUUAGUGGUAUAGCAUUCGCUUAGCAUGAUCUGCGUGCGAAAGGUCCGGCGUUCAAUUUGCCGCUUGUCCA
This is a non-coding RNA of Sphaerobolus stellatus SS14, 81 nucleotides long. NCBI's taxonomy places the organism in Eukaryota, Fungi, Basidiomycota, Agaricomycetes, Geastrales, Sphaerobolaceae. The record is from the annotation of a GenBank genome assembly.